GACGUAGGGGGCGAGCGUUGUCCGGAAUUAUUGGGCGUAAAGAGCUCGUAGGCGGCUUGGCGAGUCGGUUGUGAAAUCCCGCGGCUCAACUGCGGGUCUGCAGUCGAUACGGGCAGGCUAGAGUUCGGUAGGGGAGACUGGAAUUCCUGGUGUAGCGGUGAAAUGCGCAGAUAUCAGGAGGAACACCGGUGGCGAAGGCGGGUCUCUGGGCCGAUACUGACGCUGAGGAGCGAAAGCGUGGGGAGCGAACAGG
RNAcentral lists this ribosomal RNA (253 nucleotides) under uncultured bacterium. RNAcentral describes it as "partial 16S ribosomal RNA". It matches the Rfam family "Bacterial small subunit ribosomal RNA", at positions 524 to 776 of the family's 1533-position model. The record is from RNAcentral.